Molecule: ribosomal RNA, 495 nt
Filed under: uncultured bacterium
Lineage: Bacteria
Description: partial 16S ribosomal RNA
Rfam family: Bacterial small subunit ribosomal RNA
Source: RNAcentral
GACGAACGCUGGCGGCGUGCCUAAUACAUGCAAGUAGAACGCUGAAGGAGGAGCUUGCUUCUCUGGAUGAGUUGCGAACGGGUGAGUAACGCGUAGGUAACCUGCCUGGUAGCGGGGGAUAACUAUUGGAAACGAUAGCUAAUACCGCAUAAUAGCAGUUAUUGCAUGAUAACUGUUUGAAAGGUGCAAUUGCACCACUACCAGAUGGACCUGCGUUGUAUUAGCUAGUUGGUGGGGUAACGGCUCACCAAGGCGACGAUACAUAGCCGACCUGAGAGGGGGAUCGGCCACACUGGGACUGAGACACGGCCCAGACUCCUACGGGAGGCAGCAGUAGGGAAUCUUCGGCAAUGGACGGAAGUCUGACCGAGCAACGCCGCGUGAGUGAAGAAGGUUUUCGGAUCGUAAAGCUCUGUUGUACGAGAAGAACGAGUGUGAGAGUGGAAAGUUCACACUGUGACGGUAUCUUACCAGAAAGGGACGGCUAACUACGUG